Molecule: ribosomal RNA, 253 nt
Filed under: uncultured bacterium
Lineage: Bacteria
Description: partial 16S ribosomal RNA
Rfam family: Bacterial small subunit ribosomal RNA
Source: RNAcentral
UACGUAGGUGGCAAGCGUUAUCCGGAUUUAUUGGGCGUAAAGGGAACGCAGGCGGUCCUUUAAGUCUGAUGUGAAAGCCUUCGGCUUAACCGGAGUAGUGCAUUGGAAACUGGGAGACUUGAGUGCAGAAGAGGAGAGUGGAACUCCAUGUGUAGCGGUGAAAUGCGUAGAUAUAUGGAAGAACACCAGUGGCGAAAGCGGCUCUCUGGUCUGUAACUGACGCUGAGGGUCGAAAGCGUGGGUAGCAAACAGG